AAACGCCUUUUAUACUGUCGUGUAAAGAGUCCAUUAUUAGAGUUACGUCAGUGGGGUUACGUGUCAUGCACCUAUAAAAGAGUGAACCGAGAUUUUCUGAAGUACCGCCACUAAGCGGAUUGGUUAACAGGUGUCCAAUGUAUUUGGGGACAUUACCCCCUAAAACACCUAGUUUCAACACCAUGUGUUGAACUCUGAAGAAAAACACAGUUCUAUACCAUUUGUUCUCAAAAUCUCCAAAUCUUUGUCCACGUCCAAAGUCUUCACAUACUCAGACCAUCUCAGUCAAGUACGGGAUCUCUGCCAUCUGCCAUCUUCCAUACAGUCCAAUCAAACCUGUAACGAUCAAACUAAAAAACCAAAAAAAAAUUGGAAAUGUAAAUUAGCAGUCUCCAUUUGUCACAAAAUAAGCUAAGCUUCAAAAGAAGGAACGAAUUGAAAGCAGGGGAGUAAGUAGGGGGCACCAUUAUCAUGUUUCCUUAUUGUAUUUGCAAACAUUAAACCAUUAUUUCCUUUUUAUAUAAAGAAAAUCAUUUUCUUGGCUUCAACAUAAUUUGCAUGAUUCUCAUAACAGCAAAUAAAUAUCUAUAUAUUUCUCGAAUAUAAGUAAUAAAAGAUAAUGGAAAACGAUUCAAGAUCUGAAAUUACCUCUGUGGGAAAGCACUCUCCAUGGUCAAUAGGAAUCAACUUGCCUUCUUUGUUAAGUAUGUUGUCCUGGUUUCUGUCUGUGUUGCCAUAUAGGCCUAAUCCCGCUAAGCCGAUAAAUAUUUGAGUCCAGUCCGGUUCGGAAAUAUUU
Molecule: long non-coding RNA, 796 nt
Filed under: Brassica napus (rape)
Lineage: Eukaryota; Viridiplantae; Streptophyta; Magnoliopsida; Brassicales; Brassicaceae
Description: long non-coding RNA (BNAP_LNC016718)
Source: RNAcentral